This 486-nucleotide ribosomal RNA is filed under the name uncultured bacterium. RNAcentral describes it as "partial 16S ribosomal RNA". It matches the Rfam family "Bacterial small subunit ribosomal RNA", at positions 30 to 507 of the family's 1533-position model. The record is from RNAcentral.
AUUGAACGCUGGCGGCAUGCCUUACGCAUGCAAGUCGAACGGCAGCACGGGUGCUUGCACCUGGUGGCGAGUGGCGAACGGGUGUGUAAUACAUCGGAACAUGUCCUGUAUUGGGGGAUAGCCCGGCGAAAGCCGGGUUAAUACCGCAUACGAUCUACGGAUGAAAGCGGGGGACCUUCGGACCUCGCGCUAUAGGGUUGGCUGAUGGCUGAUUAGCUAGUUGGUGGGGUAAAGGCCUACCAAGGCGACGAUCAGUAGAUGGUCUGAGAGGACGACCAGCCACACUGGGACUGAGACACGGCCCAGACUCCUACGGGAGGCAGCAGUGGGGAAUUUUGGACAAUGGGCGAAAGCCUGAUCCAGCAAUGCCGCGUGUGUGAAGAAGGCCUUCGGGUUGUAAAGCACUUUUGUCAGGAAAGAAAUCCUUGGCUCUAAUACAGUCGGGGGAUGACGGUACCGGAAGAAUAAGCACCGGCUAACUACGUG